This 699-nucleotide ribosomal RNA is filed under the name uncultured bacterium. RNAcentral's name for it is "bacterial SSU rRNA". It matches the Rfam family "Bacterial small subunit ribosomal RNA", at positions 100 to 735 of the family's 1533-position model. The record is from RNAcentral.
AAGCGGGUGCGUAACACGUGGGCAACUCAUGCCGAGCAAGUGGGGGAUAGCUCGCCGAAAGGCGAAAUUAAUACCGUAGUGUGAUCAGAGGCGACAUCCGCUUUCAGAAUAUCAACAACGCCCGGUGGUCAAGCCUGGUCGGCUCUCUUCUGUAGUGAGCCCAGGCGGUCUAUCAGCUAGUUUGGUUGCACGGUUAAUCUGGCUCCACCAAGGGCUUAUCGACUGGGUAGCUGGGUUCUUGAGAGUGACAGACCAGUCACACUUGGGAACUUGAGACCCGGUCCAGACUCAAACGGGUGGCAGCAGUCGAGAAUUUUUCUCAAUGGGGGCAACCCUGAAGGAGCGACGCCGCGUGGAGGAUGAAGGCUUUCGGGUUGUAAACUCCUGUCAUUUGAGAACAAGUUGGACGCAGUAACUACGCGUCCAUUGAUAGUAUCAGAAGAGGAAGGGACGGCUAACUCUGUGCCAGCAGCCGCGGUAAUACAGAGGUCUCAAGCGUUGUUCGGAUUCAUUGGGCGUAAAGGGUGCGUAGGUGGCGCCGUAAGUGGGGUGUGAAAUUUCGGAGCUUAACUCCGAAACUGCAUUCCAUUACUGCGGUGCUUGAGGACUGGAGAGGAGACUGGAAUUUACGGUGUAGCAGUGAAAUGCGUAGAGAUCCGUAAAGGAAGACCAGUGGGCGAAAGCGGGGUCUCCUGGACA